Molecule: non-coding RNA, 114 nt
Organism: Acanthosepion pharaonis
Lineage: Eukaryota; Metazoa; Mollusca; Cephalopoda; Sepiida; Sepiidae
Source: the annotation of a GenBank genome assembly
UUACGGCCAUAUCACGUUGAAACACCAGUUCUCGUAUGAUCACAGAACUUAAGCAAUGUUGAACCUGAUCAGUAUUUAGAUGGGUGACCGUUGGGGAAUACCAGGUGUUGUAAG